AACGAACGCUGGCGGCAGGCCUAACACAUGCAAGUCGAGCGAGCAUUUCGGUGCUAGCGGCGGACGGGUGAGUAACGCGUGGGAACGUGCCCUUUUCUGCGGAAUAGUCCUGGGAAACUGGAGGUAAUACCGCAUACGCCCUUUUGGGGAAAGAUUUAUCGGAGAAGGAUCGGCCCGCGUUGGAUUAGGUAGUUGGUGGGGUAAUGGCCCACCAAGCCGACGAUCCAUAGCUGGUUUGAGAGGAUGAUCAGCCACACUGGGACUGAGACACGGCCCAGACUCCUACGGGAGGCAGCAGUGGGGAAUCUUAGACAAUGGGGGCAACCCUGAUCUAGCCAUGCCGCGUGAGUGAUGAAGGCCUUAGGGUUGUAAAGCUCUUUCAGCUGGGAAGAUAAUGACGGUACCAGCAGAAGAAGCCCCGGCUAACUCCGUG
Molecule: ribosomal RNA, 433 nt
Filed under: uncultured bacterium
Lineage: Bacteria
Description: partial 16S ribosomal RNA
Rfam family: Bacterial small subunit ribosomal RNA
Source: RNAcentral